This 77-nucleotide transfer RNA is filed under the name Coprobacillus sp. AF27-24BH. RNAcentral's name for it is "tRNA-Asp". It matches the Rfam family "tRNA". Rfam says of the family: Transfer RNA (tRNA) molecules are approximately 80 nucleotides in length. Their secondary structure includes four short double-helical elements and three loops (D, anti-codon, and T loops). Further hydrogen bonds mediate the characteristic L-shaped molecular structure. tRNAs have two regions of fundamental functional importance: the anti-codon, which is responsible for specific mRNA codon recognition, and the 3' end, to which the tRNAs corresponding amino acid is attached (by aminoacyl-tRNA synthetases). tRNAs cope with the degeneracy of the genetic code in two manners: having more than one tRNA (with a specific anti-codon) for a particular amino acid; and 'wobble' base-pairing, i.e. permitting non-standard base-pairing at the 3rd anti-codon position. Lineage: Bacteria; Bacillati; Bacillota; Erysipelotrichia; Erysipelotrichales; Coprobacillaceae. The record is from RNAcentral.
GGUCUGGUAGUUCAGUUGGUUAGAAUGCCGCGCUGUCACGGCGGAGGUCGCGGGUUCGAGUCCCGUCCAGACCGCCA